Molecule: ribosomal RNA, 492 nt
Filed under: uncultured bacterium
Lineage: Bacteria
Description: partial 16S ribosomal RNA
Rfam family: Bacterial small subunit ribosomal RNA
Source: RNAcentral
AGUGAACGCUGGCGGUAGGCCUAACACAUGCAAGUCGAACGGCAGCACAGUAAGAGCUUGCUCUUACGGGUGGCGAGUGGCGGACGGGUGAGGAAUACAUCGGAAUCUACUUUUUCGUGGGGGAUAACGUAGGGAAACUUACGCUAAUACCGCAUACGACCUACGGGUGAAAGCAGGGGAUCUUCGGACCUUGCGCGAUUGAAUGAGCCGAUGUCGGAUUAGCUAGUUGGCGGGGUAAAGGCCCACCAAGGCGACGAUCCGUAGCUGGUCUGAGAGGAUGAUCAGCCACCAUGGAACUGAGACACGGUCCAGGCUCCUACGGGAGGCAGCAGUGGGGAAUAUUGGACAAUGGGCGCAAGCCUGAUCCAGCCAUACCGCGUGGGUGAAGAAGGCCUUCGGGUUGUAAAGCCCUUUUGUUGGGAAAGAAAAGCAGCAGGUUAAUACCCCGCUGUUCUGACGGUACCCAAAGAAUAAGCACCGGCUAACUUCGUG